GCCGGGGUGGCGAAAUCGGUAGACGCUGGGGGCUUAAAACCCCCUGGGAGAAGUCCCGUGUGGGUUCGAGUCCCACCCCCGGCA
RNAcentral lists this transfer RNA (84 nucleotides) under Gemmatimonadota bacterium. Its description in RNAcentral is "Gemmatimonadetes bacterium (freshwater metagenome) tRNA-Leu". It matches the Rfam family "tRNA". Rfam says of the family: Transfer RNA (tRNA) molecules are approximately 80 nucleotides in length. Their secondary structure includes four short double-helical elements and three loops (D, anti-codon, and T loops). Further hydrogen bonds mediate the characteristic L-shaped molecular structure. tRNAs have two regions of fundamental functional importance: the anti-codon, which is responsible for specific mRNA codon recognition, and the 3' end, to which the tRNAs corresponding amino acid is attached (by aminoacyl-tRNA synthetases). tRNAs cope with the degeneracy of the genetic code in two manners: having more than one tRNA (with a specific anti-codon) for a particular amino acid; and 'wobble' base-pairing, i.e. permitting non-standard base-pairing at the 3rd anti-codon position. Lineage: Bacteria; Pseudomonadati; Gemmatimonadota. The record is from RNAcentral.